GACGAACGCUGGCGGCGUGCCUAAUACAUGCAAGUUGAGCGCUGAAGGUUGGUACUUGUACCAACUGGAUGAGCAGCGAACGGGUGAGUAACGCGUGGGGAAUCUGCCUUUGAGCGGGGGACAACAUUUGGAAACGAAUGCUAAUACCGCAUAAAAACUUUAAACACAAGUUUUAAGUUUGAAAGAUGCAAUUGCAUCACUCAAAGAUGAUCCCGCGUUGUAUUAGCUAGUUGGUGAGGUAAAGGCUCACCAAGGCGAUGAUACAUAGCCGACCUGAGAGGGUGAUCGGCCACCAUGGGACUGGGACACGGCCCAAACUCCCUCGGGAGGCAGCAGUAGGGAAUCUUCGGCAAAGGACGAAAGUCUGACCGAGCAACGCCGCGUGAGUGAAGAAGGGUUUCGGAUCGUAAAACUCUGUUGGUAGAGAAGAACGUUGGUGAGAGUGGAAAGCUCAUCAAGUGACGGUAACUACCCAGAAAGGGACGGCUAACUACGUG
RNAcentral lists this ribosomal RNA (497 nucleotides) under uncultured bacterium. RNAcentral describes it as "partial 16S ribosomal RNA". It matches the Rfam family "Bacterial small subunit ribosomal RNA", at positions 28 to 507 of the family's 1533-position model. The record is from RNAcentral.